Long non-coding RNA from Daphnia pulex (common water flea), 435 nucleotides. RefSeq lists it as uncharacterized. NCBI's taxonomy places the organism in Eukaryota, Metazoa, Arthropoda, Branchiopoda, Diplostraca, Daphniidae. The transcript is spliced from 3 exons. The record is from RefSeq and is a predicted model, not a curated record.
CGAUGGCACGUCGUUUGGCGUGUGACAUAAAUUAGUUUUCAAUUUUCAUUUAUUGUUUUAGUUACCCAGUCCGUGACUUGUGUAAUUUUUCAACCUUUUCGUUCGUAGUAUUAAAAUUACGAGUCAAAUGAAACCAUAAAAAGCAAGAAAUUUUUUGUUUAAUCAGAGAAGAAGGCGUAGCUAAACGUGACGUGAGAAGCUUGCCUUUUGCCGGCCACUUUUAAGAAUUCGGCAGCACCAGGAUCCAAGAAAGAAAAGGUUCAAGACUUUUGUGUAUUGUUAAGGCAGAACAAUUUAAAAUAGGGGCAAUUUGUUGAUUCAAGUUGGAAAACAAAACGCAAACUGUGUCAGGAAAACCGGACAAUGAAGAUGAUUUCUUUCUCUACUUUGAAAACUGUUUCAAACUGAAGGUUCUGCAGGAAAAUGCCCAAUCAA